CCUACGGGAGGCAGCAGUGGGGAAUAUUGGACAAUGGGGGAACCCUGAUCCAGCCAUGCCGCGUGUGUGAAGAAGGCCCUCGGGUUGUAAAGCACUUUCAGUGAGGAAGAACGCCUGGUGGUUAAUACCCAUCAGGAAAGACAUCACUCACAGAAGAAGCACCGGCUAACUCCGUGCCAGCAGCCGCGGUAAUACGGAGGGUGCGAGCGUUAAUCGGAAUUACUGGGCGUAAAGCGCGCGUAGGUGGCUUGAUAAGCCGGUUGUGAAAGCCCCGGGCUCAACCUGGGAACGGCAUCCGGAACUGUCAAGCUAGAGUGCAGGAGAGGAAGGUAGAAUUCCCGGUGUAGCGGUGAAAUGCGUAGAGAUCGGGAGGAAUACCAGUGGCGAAGGCGGCCUUCUGGACUGACACUGACACUGAGGUGCGAAAGCGUGGGUAGCAAACAGGAUUAGAUACCCCAGUAGUC
RNAcentral lists this ribosomal RNA (464 nucleotides) under Vreelandella stevensii. RNAcentral's name for it is "partial 16S ribosomal RNA". It matches the Rfam family "Bacterial small subunit ribosomal RNA", at positions 338 to 795 of the family's 1533-position model. The record is from RNAcentral. Lineage: Bacteria; Pseudomonadati; Pseudomonadota; Gammaproteobacteria; Oceanospirillales; Halomonadaceae.